This 230-nucleotide long non-coding RNA is filed under the name Mustela putorius furo (domestic ferret). Its description in RNAcentral is "lncRNA (ENSMPUG00000025342.1)". Lineage: Eukaryota; Metazoa; Chordata; Mammalia; Carnivora; Mustelidae. The record is from RNAcentral.
UAGGCUUUCUACUCAGCUGAGUUGGAAUGAUCUGUUGCCAUUGGGCUUAUCAUUCCAAGCUUGUGAAAUGGCUAGACACUACCAGCCAUUUAUUUGAAUUUUGGGGAAGAAGACUAUUAAAGCCAAAGACAAAAGAUUUUAUUUACUAUAGAUCCACCCAUACAGGUGAGAACACUCACUAAUUUUAAUACAGUCAGAAUUAAUCCAUGGAAAUGCAAGAGCCAGAUUCU